GCCUGGGGGAAGCCAUGUACUCGUGGAUGCACGGCUUCCACGCACACUCACUAUGGGCCUGGACCCUCUGCCAGGCGCUGAAGUUCUCUCCCCUAGUGGCAGCCCUGUACUCUGCUAUACUCUGGAAGGCUCAGAAUGCUCUGGAAGAUCUCUCUAGGCAUUUUCCAACACUUCAGACAGGGUUCAGUCUCUUAGCAAAGCAGGAAGAGUGGGAGGCACCUCAGCUGGAGAGGGAAGACAGAGGUAAGUAGACAGAGGGUGUCUCCUCCUUACAGUCUCAAACUUCUAAAGCUCACAGCCUUUGUUCUCUCACAUGACAAUGGUGCUGAGCCGGUGCCAAGCUUCACAAGCAACUGCCUUGCCCCUCCUGGGAAUUCUUCCCAGGGCCGGUCCCAGGCUGCUGCAUUCACAGAACAUCUUUCCUUUGAGCAGGAGCCAAACAUGAUCUCACAAGUCCUCAUGUGGCCUUCUGGGAAAAAAAUGUUUGUGCUGGUAAAUGUUUGGCUUGAGAAAGAACCCUGUUUUCCAAAGCUCGUAUGCUUUACAGGAGAUUACAGGGUUGGAAAAUGGAAGAAACUGGAGUAACACUGUCCUUCCCUCGAGAAAGGCAAAGGGGUAAGGGCAGAGAAGAUCCAGAUCCAGAUAGAUGACCUAGCAGGAGGACAAUCAGGCUUCCUGCGCAUCCUGACACUGAGUUCUUUAUCAGGCCAACAGUGGCUACACAGAAACAGAUAUGUUUUCCUUCUGCUUCUGCUCCUAAGCUGGUGCUCCUUGUGAUGUAGGUUAGAGAGGCUACCGCAUAGCACACGUGCAUUACUCCUUCAUCCUGUGCCUGGGGCAGACAUCGAAAAUUGACCACCACACACUUUUCUGCUGAAUUUUCAGAGGUUCACGGCACAGCAGUGCAGGACAAUGUGGCCAAUUGUGCAGAAAUAGCAGGCUGGAGAAGAUCUGUUUGCUAUUCGUUAUGGUUGAAGGUUUAUCCCUGAGACAGAAGAGAAGGAUCUCACAUUCCCCAAGAGCUACUGUAUUUUUC
This 1036-nucleotide long non-coding RNA is filed under the name Marmota monax (woodchuck). Lineage: Eukaryota; Metazoa; Chordata; Mammalia; Rodentia; Sciuridae. The record is from RNAcentral.